AUGAGGUCGUCGGUCCAGGCCCAGCCCAUGCGGCUCAAGCUCAAGGCCGUGUACCAGCUGAUCGUGGACAACUUCCUCGCCGCUUCAUGUGCCGUCGUCCUGCUGCGGCUCGGCCCGGCGGAGAUCAUCAGCUGGCUCCGACCAGCGCACCUGUUCUCUGCUGCGGCAGCAGCCGCCGUGUACCUAAUGCUCCGCCCGCGCGCGGUGUACCUGAUCGACUACGCCUGCUUCGACACCUCGCCGCUCGCCCGCGUCCCCAUGGCCUCAUUCAUCGAGCACACCAAGCAUACGCCCACCAUCAGCGAGCGCAGCGUCCGGUUCAUGUCCCGGCUGCUGGCGCGCUCGGGGCUCGGGGAGCAGACCUGCCUGCCGGAGGCGCACCACUGCGUCCCGACGCACGAGUGCUGCACCCUCGACAACGCCCGCGCCGAGUUCGAGCUCGUCGUCUUCUCGGCCAUCGACGACCUGCUCGCCAAGACCGGCGUCGCCCCAGACGCGAUCGGCGUGCUCGUCCUCAACUGCAGCCUCUUCUGCCCCACGCCGUCCUUGGUCGACAUCAUCGUGAACAAGUACAACCUGCGCUGCGACAUCCGUAGCGUGAACCUCUCCGGCAUGGGGUGCAGCGCGGGGCUCAUCUCCGUGGGGCUCGCCAAUAACCUCCUGCAGGUUGUUCCCCGGGGGUCCCACGCGCUGGUCGUCUCCACGGAGACCAUCACGCCGAACUACUACGUCGGCAACGAGCGCGCGAUGCUCCUGCCAAACUGCCUGUUCCGCGUCGGCGGGGUGGCGGCGCUGCUGUCGACGUCCCCCGCGAACGCCCGGUUCCGCCUGAGGCACGUCGUGCGCACCUUCACCGGCGCGAACGACGACGAGGCUUACCGCUGCGUGUUCCAGGAGGAGGACGACCAGGGGAAUGUCGGGAUCAACCUCAGCAAGAACCUGAUGGCCAUCGCCGGGAAUUCACUCCAGGCCAACAUCACCGAGAUCGCGCCGCUCGUCCUGCCUUUCUCCGAGCAGCUCCUCUUCGCCAUCUCCUUUGUUGCAUGUAAGGUGCUUCGCGCACGUGUCAAGCCCUACAUCCCAGACUUCUCCAUGGCAUUCAAGCACUUGUGUAUUCACGCGGGGGGCCGUGCGGUCAUCGACGAGCUGCAGACGAGGCUCCGCCUCUCGGACGAGCAGGUGGAGGCGUCGCGGAUGACGCUGCACCGGUUCGGAAACACGUCUAGUAGCUCGCUGUGGUACGAGCUGGCGUACGUGGAGGCCAAAGGACGGAUGCGUAAGGGCCACCGUGUUUGGAUGAUCGGCUUCGGCUCAGGGUUCAAGUGCAACAGCGUGGUGUGGGAGUGCAUCCAGCCUGCUGCCCGCAACACCCAUGGGCCGUGGACCACGUCCAUCCAUAGAUAUCCAGUGGACAUUCCCGAAGUUCUAAGCCAUUAG
Molecule: ribosomal RNA, 1437 nt
Filed under: Triticum aestivum (bread wheat)
Lineage: Eukaryota; Viridiplantae; Streptophyta; Magnoliopsida; Poales; Poaceae
Description: partial small subunit ribosomal RNA
Source: RNAcentral